RNAcentral lists this ribosomal RNA (464 nucleotides) under Marginella festiva. RNAcentral's name for it is "partial 16S ribosomal RNA". It matches the Rfam family "Bacterial large subunit ribosomal RNA", at positions 1891 to 2598 of the family's 2925-position model. Lineage: Eukaryota; Metazoa; Mollusca; Gastropoda; Neogastropoda; Marginellidae. The record is from RNAcentral.
AUGAGGAAUCGAGCCUGCCCAGUGAAUUUUUAAAUGGCCGCGGUAUUUUGACUGUGCGAAGGUAGCAUAAUCAUUUGCCUUAUAAUUAAAGGCUGGAAUGAAUGGUGUGACAAGGGUGACGCUGUCUCUUGAUAGUUUAUUAGAAUUUUAUUUUGAAGUGAAGACGCUUUAAUAUGAUUAUUAGACAAGAAGACCCUAUCGAGCUUUAGUUUAUAGUAAGGGUGUGCUUAUUUAAGAUUUUUGUUGGGGCGACUUAGGAACAAUUGAAGCUUCCUAAAUUUUUAUAGAUCUACGGGUGUUGAUCCAUAUUUAAUGAUUAGUAAAAUUAGUUACCGUAGGGAUAACAGCAUAAUCUUAUUUGAGAGUUCGUAUUGAAAGUAAGGUUUGUGACCUCGAUGUUGGAUUAAAGUUCCUAAGGGUGUAGUUGUUCUUAAGGGUGGGUCUGUUCGACCUUUAAAAUUUUA